AUUGAACGCUGGCGGCAGGCCUAACACAUGCAAGUCGAACGAGUGGCGGACGGGUGAGUAAUGUCUGGGAAACUGCCUGAUGGCGGGGGAUAACUACUGGAAACGGUAGCUAAUCCCGCCUACCAUCGGCUGUGCCCAGAUGGGAUUCGCUAGUAGGUGGGGUAAAGGCUCACCUAGGCGACGAUCCCUAGCUGGUCUGAGAGGAUGACCAGCCAAACUGGAAUUGAGAAACGGUCCGGCCUCCUACGGGAGGCAGCAGUGGGGAAUAUUUCACAAGGGGCGCAAGCCUGAUGCAGCCAUGACGCGUGUAUUAAGAAGGCCCUAGGGUUGUAAAGUACUGUCAGUCGGGAGGCGUUACCGACAGAAGAAGCACCGGCUAACUCCGUGCCAGCAGCCGCGGUAAUUC
RNAcentral lists this ribosomal RNA (406 nucleotides) under uncultured bacterium. RNAcentral describes it as "partial 16S ribosomal RNA". It matches the Rfam family "Bacterial small subunit ribosomal RNA", at positions 30 to 526 of the family's 1533-position model. The record is from RNAcentral.